This is a non-coding RNA of Pelodiscus sinensis (Chinese soft-shelled turtle), 5412 nucleotides long. The record is from RefSeq and is a predicted model, not a curated record. Lineage: Eukaryota; Metazoa; Chordata; Testudines; Trionychidae.
CCCCACAGCCACCCCGAAAAGAAUCAAAAUAACGUAGGGCACAAAUAGCUAUUUACUUAACUACACUGAUUAGUGUCUGGCUGGUUAACUUUAUGCCCAUUAAUCCACAUACCAGACUGGACAAGGAAAAGGAAAAUAGGAAACAUGUACUGUCACAGUUCCAGGGCAACUGCUCCCUGACUCCUUUGAAGCCUCCUGGAGGUCCCACUCUCAGGGCAGCGACUUGCUCCUGUUCCUCUCCUUCAGGUCAGGGAUUUAGGCUGCAAUUCCCUUCUUAAUUUUUGGUGCUUAUCCCAGGAGCUCAAACUUAAGGGCUUAUCUUUCCUUACCUGGAAAUUGAUGCUCUGGAGAUCCAUCUCCUGGGGUUCAAUUUAGCAGAUCUUAUAGGGACCCACUAAAUUGACUGCUCAUGGCACCUUCGUUGACUCUGGUACUUUGCUGGGUCAUGAGGAGUAAGGAGUAAGGGAAGUUGAUGGGAUAGUUUCUCCCAUCAACUCCCCGCAGUGGGGACACCUCGGUAAGUCGAGCUAAGGUACGUUGACUCCAGCUACAUUAUUAACAUAGCUGGAGUUGCGUAACUUAGGCCAGGUAUUAGGCAGGAGAAAGUUGAACUAAGUCUGGUGCCUGCCAUUCUGCUCUCUUUCAGGAGCUACGGCAGUGACCAGCCAGCUUUCACGGUACAUGUAUUUAGGACUAAAGCACUACAGAGAAAGCAUAUAAUACAAGGCUAUGCUCACAUGCUUAGCUUACCAGGAAGCGCUCAUCUUUCACAUGGAGAUCCUGAUUGGCUUUGAAGUCCAUGAACCCUUCCACCAGGACUUUGCUCUCUUGGUAAAAGUCUCCUGUCAGAGGAGUGGCAAUAUGUGCCAUUGCAAAUAACAGGGAAUUCCCAGUAAGUGCCCUUGAAGAAGCCAUGAAAGGGCCAAAGGUGCACGUACCCCAGAACUCUGACAAACAAUUUGCCCUGUUGCUGAAAUACCCUUUUUAAAAAUUUGGAAUCUGGAAUUCACAUUAUUUUUAUAAUUUUUUUUGAGAGAGAGGCAAGUUAAGGGCCCAACUGGGAGUGACUCCAGUGGGUAUUGGAUUGGGCCCCAGCGAGGUACUUUUCGAGUUAGCAGUAGGUAAUUAUCUCAACUGCAGCAUUAUUUAUUUUCAAAUAAAAAGCACAAAGUAAGGUAAGGGAAAGACAGCAAUGUUGAGAAGUACAUUAGAAUGUAUGGAAGGUCCUUGGGGUAACCAGGGACACAUUUAGCUAUGGGUCAAUUAAAAAUAAAUCAUAUAUUGGAAAGCCCUGUACUAUAAAUAUCCUCAUGUGACAGGAUGAGGGACUUCGUCUGUAGCACCUCUGGUGAGGAUGUUAAUGGGAGAGCGCUCUUCUGUCAGCAUAAUUACUCUGCCCUCAUGAGAGGCAGAAUCUAUGUCAGUAGGAGAAUGUCUCCUGCUGACAUUUGCACCCAUGCGGAUAGCGUGUAGGUCACUAUAACUUAUGUCGCUUAGAGGGCUGUUUUUUUCACACUCUUGAACGACGUAAGUUAGAUUGACUUAAGUGGUACUGUAUUGUAGACCUGUCCUGAGAAGGUUCUUGUUACAGAGAAUUGACCGGCUCCUCUCCAAUUAAGGGUUGUUCUGUACUUCAUCUUGUCUUGGUUUUUUUUUCUGAGGGCCCUUGAAUACAGAGAUCAAAAGGGAUGCCCUUGCCACAGCUCUGGUGCAGGGCCUCUGUAUCUUGACCACUCACACUGAGAAGUACUGGUCUAAUCCUAUCAGGAUUGGUCCCAUCAACAAGUUGGGGCCCCUCCUUGAGAUGGUGAGGGCAGCUGAAAAGGCUGAUGCAAGAUGUGCAUUGUUGCCCUACUAAAAGCCAUCCAGACGACAUGUGGAGUUGUAGGAAGAUGAAAGGUCAAUCAGCACCACUGAAGAAAAGCACUUCCACCCAAUAUAGUAGGCGUGUUGGCAAGAUAUCCCACAAUUAACAGCAAAGUUAUCUGGUCUGAGGGCAGAAAGGCAAAUUGUUGCAGGAGAAGGCUGCUUCUGGACUGCUGAGUCCUUUCCCCAAUCUGGCACCAGCAUGCCCAUCAGCAGGGCUUUCCUUGAAGAAUCUUGAACAGACACAUUUGCUUUUAAUGCUCCUUUUAAGGCAGCCAUGUUGCGAUGGGGAAGGGGGGGGGGGGCGGAGUAGGAUUAAAGCAAACUUUGUGCCCCUAACAACUGUCCCCCUAGACCGGUGGUUUUCAAACUUUUUGGCCCAUGACUCACCCUGCCCAACGCAGACCUUUAUGCAGACCACCAGCCAACCACCCAUGAUGACAUAAUGGGUGCAAGAGGGAGUGAGGGCAUGGGGUCUGGCUAUGAGGUUGGGUACAGUGCAGACUGAGGAUGGGGAGGUCUGGCUGGGAGGUUGGGUGCAGGAGUGGUCUGAGGAUGGGGGUCUGGGUAGGAGGUUCUGCCCCCUGUGGCUUCCGUUGGCCGUGAUUCCACCAAUGGGAGCAGUGGCGAAAGCCUCUGGAUGAGUCGUUUCCUGAGCUACUAUUCCCCGAGCUCGGAGGAGGGGGAGCAGCAGUGCUCCAAGCCACUUCCUUCCCUGCAAGCCAGAUCUGGCCCCUGAGGCUGACCACCUACCCCCUUCAGCAAGAAGCCAGCUCACAUGCUCCAACCAAGCCCUGAGCACACUUUUAAGAACCACUGUCUUAGACAAAGAUAUCAAAGCCUAGGGAACUUUGCCUACCAGAGUCAGUCGUGAUAGUUGCUCAGAUAGGUAGCUAUAGCAUUAAGACAGAGACUGCUCCUGAGAGCCAAGAAUGCAAAAUCUUGCUUGGAAAGCUGUAGAGGAGAUGAGCAGAGCAAGAAGUCUUGAUUGCUGAGCUUGGUGGGAGUAGAGAAGAGGCUGCUGCAUGCAGUGGAGAAAGAUUCACUUAGUGCCACAAAACAAAUCCCAGGUAGAUAGGUUUUCUCACAAAAGAAAGGGGGAAAUGGUGGAGCCAUAUUGGCAGUUUAGUAGGAGUUUCUUUAUGCUCUGUAGUUUAGGGGAAAGCAGGACUGGAAAUUGCCUGUUGCUGAUGCCAAGAGGCAGAUCAAACUGGGGAGUUUUCUAGAAGGGAGAGCAAAUCCCUGAUAGGUGACAUGUCUCUUGUGACUCCUUAAACUUUGCAAUAAAACUAGUGCACAACUGGACUAGUCUGUUUUCAGUAUCCCAAAUGACCGAGAUGUCAAAACAAAAACACUAUACAUAGAAAAAAUGUUACAUCGAUGUAUUUUUUAUUAGCAUAGGUUGGUUAACAAAUUUGUUUCUUAAAAGUAUGAGUCCACGUUGUGCUAUCCCAACUGUGCAGACAGAUCUCAGUGCAUACAACGUAUACCACUGACUUUGUGCAGAUGCAAGAGUACACCCACACAGAUCCAGUUGUGGCUUCAGGGCCAUUAUUUCACAUCUGAGUUAAGAGGUAUAUAUGGUUUUUAAAAAAUAAAUGAAGAAACCUUGAGAAUUUUUUUUCUGACUGUCCAUUGAUGGAAUGAGAAGAGCAAAACUGUGAACAAACAUUGCUUCCUAGUCUUGUUUAAGCUCAUUUUAUAUUUAAAGACAGUUAUAUAGAUUCAAGCUUAUAAAUAAUAAAAUAUUAAUAUUUAUUGAAAAGCUCCAACAAUCUAAUUAAACUAAAGAAAGACAACACAAAAUGAACAGACCAUAACUUUAUUGGAGAUAUACUCAGCUACAAUUAUUACAAAAAACUAUUAAAGGUAAUUGUGAUCCAUAAGGUGCAGGCUGCAUAUUUCUGCAGCAUGAUUACAGUAUGAAUGAAUUACAUUUUAUGUCCCUUAAAGACAGCUGCAGCAUGUGAUGGUUUAUUGUUCAUCAAAUUUUGUUAUUCAUUCUACUUGAUUUUAACCAUCUUUUAUGUCAAACUAUUUACAAUAAAAACACCUGCAAUUCCCAGUUCUUGUUCACAAAUACUUGUUUUUUCUACAUAACUUGCUGCUGCAGUGCAUUUUGAGUGCAUCUACAAAGCAAUUUUAAAUAGUCUGUGGUUACUAUCCAAAUUAAAAGGGGGGAGAGUUCUAAAGGACUUAUUGGGUAAAGUGUAAAUAUUUUUAAAAAUACCUUUGAAACAAGUUAAUUUUAAUUGCUAGUGGAAUAUACAGCAAUGACCUCUACUCAUAUUUGCCAACAUAUUUCUGAUGAAGCUACAGCUAAUAUUUAGAUUACACUUCAGGGUUGUAAGUUGUAGUUUUAUGUUUUUAAAUUUAAUGCAUAAAGAUAAAUCCAUUUUAACUUCUUGAAAAUUAAAGUGGUUGAAAAAUACAAAUGUGUCAAAAAUCAAGUACCACAGGUCAAAAUCCUUCUUAGUGAAUUCAUAACAGAUCCAAUGACCUUCAAUGAGGCUGUUCAAGUGGGAAAAAAAGUUAAUGAGAUGUGGCCAAAUACAGAUAAAUGUAACAUCACAGCAAAUUAUGGGGGAAUUUGUUGUAUUUAGCUUCAUAAGCGCUGCUAAGACUGCAGUCUAAAGCUGUUUAGAUUUUCUGUAUAGAUAGGUGUGUUUACAGUAUGUAUGUCAUACACAUAAGCACACAUAUUUCUCAGAUUGUGACUAUUUUUAAAAACAAGGACAGAAACCAAAACUCAGACAUGAACAAUUAGUGGCAUAUCCUCAGCUGAUGUUAAUGAAAUUAUUCUAAGCCUCAGUCUAAACCAUGCCAAUUUAUAUCAACUAAGGAUGUGGCCCUGUGUCUAUUAGGCUCUGCAUUAUACUCUGAACUGAUACUCAGACGGGCUUCAAUUCUUGUUAAAUUCUGUACUCUGUGGUCACAGCAUAGUUUCAUAUAAUGAGACUGAAAAUAGUAGGCUUUUUUAUAUAAAUGUUAGCAGCAUGAAGCUGAAUAAACACUUCAGCAGCCACUACAGAUACUUCAAUAUCCAGAAAAAGGGGAGAUUUAGUUAAAAGUUGAUCAAAUUGUUAUAGGCUCUCUUCUUGUAAAAACUACACUAUGUGCUCAACAUGUUGGUUUGUUCUGAGAUAACUACAGAAGUGUCAGAGGUCAUUCUAAUUUUGAUUACUUCACAUAACAGUAAAAAUGAUGUAAUAAAAAACAAUAGCUUUAAAAUACAAUCAAGAUUUUCAUAACAUGUCUUUGUUGUGUUUUCAUACACAGUAAAAAUGCCACAGACAUUACAAAUGACCUAUAUAAGUUGUGCAAGUAAAUGACACAUUGCAGGCAUUAUAAUUAUCUUUUUCAAAUUCAGUAAAUCAAAACAGCAGCAAGGCCAAACCACAUUUUUCCUCUCUGUUAAGCAUAUUUUUCCUUGAAAUGAGGUAAAGCAUGGUACCAAGUGCAAUGCUUAUUUGUGCUACAUGAAUAGAACAGCGCAAAAAAAGCCAUAAAAAUAAAAAUGCAGCAUAGUUAGGAGGACUGUUUAAA